UUCAUUAUCACCAGCACCUUCCAGGAGAUAGCAGGAAGCAAGGACACUGUUGGACAGUAUGAGAGCCACAUGGCCUUCACAAUGCCUGGAUUGUAUAGAGUUGUUCAUGGCAUUGAUGUGUUCGACCCCAAAUUCAACAUUGUGUCACCAGGAGCUGAUGUGAAUCUCUAUUUCCCAUACUCCGAAAAGGAAAAGAGAUUGACAACUUUUCACCCUGAAAUUGAAGACUUGCUGUUUAGCGAUGUUGAGAACGAAGAACACCUGUGUGUGUUGAAGGACAGGAAUAAGCCCAUCAUAUUCACCAUGGCAAGAUUGGACCGAGUGAAGAACUUAACUGGACUUGUCGAGUGGUAUGCUAAGAAUCCACGACUAAGGGAGUUGGUUAACCUUGUAGUGGUUGGUGGAGACCGAAGAAAGGAAUCCAAAGACUUGGAAGAGCAGGCAGAGAUGAAGAAGAUGUAUGAACUUAUAAAGACUCACAAUUUGAAUGGCCAGUUCCGAUGGAUUUCUU
This 511-nucleotide unclassified non-coding RNA is filed under the name Hevea brasiliensis (rubber tree). The record is from RNAcentral. Lineage: Eukaryota; Viridiplantae; Streptophyta; Magnoliopsida; Malpighiales; Euphorbiaceae.